Molecule: ribosomal RNA, 253 nt
Filed under: uncultured bacterium
Lineage: Bacteria
Description: partial 16S ribosomal RNA
Rfam family: Bacterial small subunit ribosomal RNA
Source: RNAcentral
UACAGAGGAUGCAAGCGUUAUCCGGAAUCAUUGGGCGUAAAGCGCGCGUAGGUGGCCCCAUAAGUCCGCUGUGAAAGUCAAAGGCUCAACCUUUGAAAGCCGGUGGAUACUGUGGGACUAGAGUACGGAAGAGGCGAGUGGAAUUCCUGGUGUAGCGGUGGAAUGCGCAGAUAUCAGGAGGAACACCAAUAGCGAAGGCAGCUCGCUGGGACGUUACUGACACUGAGGCGCGAAAGCGUGGGGAGCGAACAGG